GCCGCUGGAGCCGUGAGCCGUGCCUUUUGGAGAUGGCAACAGAAAUACUGGAAAACCAAGCGGCUGGGGCCCCGUUCUUCCAGGUCAUCGUCGGCGGAAUGGUGUUUUUUUAUGCCAUCAACUGCGGCAAACAGAAACACCACAGGAACUACAA
Aedes aegypti (yellow fever mosquito) is the source of this 154-nucleotide non-coding RNA. The record is from Rfam. NCBI's taxonomy places the organism in Eukaryota, Metazoa, Arthropoda, Insecta, Diptera, Culicidae.